CUUACAUUUAAACUGAAGUUGCCAGAUACGAAGUUCACAUUUCUCACAAUUCUUCACUGACAAAGUCAACAAAAAAGAAGCAACUGCGUAAAAGGACUCGACUGCCUGGCUCCAGAACUGCACCUUUGUAAAUGCAAGGCGGCAUGAUUUAGAGCAUCUAAAACAUCCUCUCCUCUCGGACAUGAGUAUGUCAACCAAAUUAAGAUGGGUGAGCUGAUCCCAGAGACUGCUGACUCGAUACUGAAAUACAGGCUUCACAACGAGCCUUACUUAUCUCUACGGAGAAAAACAUUCUUAGUUUUAAGAGAACAAUGUUGAAGAGACAAGAGAGUCAUCACCUUGAGACAGACAACUAUUUAAGCAGUGUGGGAUAAAUUUUCUGAAAGCUUCAACAAUUUGAAAGCACAGCAACAUUUCCCAUCUGAAGUACUCCAUCUAAAAUGCAGUACUUUAUACACUAUUAUUAAUAAUUAAAAGAGCUGAAGUUACGCCUCUUUGAAACCUAUGUUAUAAUGGCUAAAAAUCUUUAUUCACAACAGAAUUUAGCUGAAAAAUAUAAUCGAUACUGAAAUGUCUUGAGUGCCGUUCACAGUUUCUAAGCAAGUUCACUGGCUGAAAUCACAAAGACUGAACUUUCUCAGAUCCGUAUGAAACACCAACAAAAACAUUUUAUUUUUUCCAGUAUGUAAGAGUACUCACAUGGCUUUUUAUGCAUCUUUAUACUUGAAGGCUGUGGAAUUAAAUAACCUGCUCCAUAGUUAAAUGGUCAGUGCAACCACAGCUGUCUGUGCGUGAGAACAGGCUCGAACUACAUCACCUCUUGAGAUGCCAUGCAACCUGAAUUAUCCUGCAAUCUUACGACUGUUGUCCAUAAAACCUAACUAAUAAAAUGACCAAACGCUGUAUUUUCAUGUUGUAACUGAAGAGGAAAGCUCUAGUUAAAAAAAGUUUUUAAAAAGU
This is a long non-coding RNA of Chroicocephalus ridibundus (black-headed gull), 960 nucleotides long. RefSeq lists it as uncharacterized. The transcript has 3 exons. The record is from RefSeq and is a predicted model, not a curated record. Lineage: Eukaryota; Metazoa; Chordata; Aves; Charadriiformes; Laridae.